CGCGGUGAGAAUAUUAUCCGUUUCUUCUCCCACCAACCGGUUUCGCGGACAGAAGCGUCGAGUCUCCCAGGGAUGCGCGCGACGGCGGCGAAUGACGUGGCAGUGCAAGAAGGAGGGCUCGUGCUUAUGUGGCGCACAGGAUGGCUGAACACUGCAGUGGUACACCCAUCAUCUUAUGAGGGUUCCAUGUGACUGAGUUUGCUCUGCAACAAACAGACAUCUUGUGUCUGUGUUUCCUGGACAUCAGCAGUCCUCCGCCCCAUGCACCCUGGAGAUAUACAAACACCACUGAGCGACUGAUUUAAGAUGUCUGCAAUGUCAUUGAUGGGAUCGAAUGCUCCAUAUACUGUGGAACCAGCCGUUGCGUUCACAAACAGUGGCACAUAACCCUAAAAUAAACAUUUAAAAUCACAUCCACUGUUGAUAGUACAUGGCCUAAACAGCACAGUGCCACUUAAUUAACAGAGAGGCUUAGUACUUUAAGGUCAAAUCACCCAUCAGCUUGAGAAUUCCUGCUUCAUAUCGAUCCACUGAACUCUUCAGGCACUGAGGUUAAAUAUUUCACUCGCUUGUCUUAGCAACAGUGAGUCUGAGCAUCUGCUUACCUUCUGUUUCACAUCAAUGAUCUUGGCCUCUAAGUCAGCAGGUAUGACACGCCCCCUAAAACAAGACAGCCAAUGAGGUGCAAGUGGGAGGGACUCUAGCAAAUAAAACAUGAGCUUUGAAAGAACAUAAUGGUUAAUAGCUAAAAAAAAAAAAAGAUACCUCUCAUCUGUCUUCAGAAGAAU
Long non-coding RNA from Carassius gibelio (silver crucian carp), 788 nucleotides. RefSeq lists it as uncharacterized. Lineage: Eukaryota; Metazoa; Chordata; Actinopteri; Cypriniformes; Cyprinidae. The transcript is spliced from 4 exons. The record is from RefSeq and is a predicted model, not a curated record.